This 254-nucleotide ribosomal RNA is filed under the name uncultured bacterium. RNAcentral's name for it is "partial 16S ribosomal RNA". It matches the Rfam family "Bacterial small subunit ribosomal RNA", at positions 526 to 779 of the family's 1533-position model. The record is from RNAcentral.
CGUAGGUCCCGAGCGUUGUCCGGAAUUACUGGGUGUAAAGGGUGCGCAGGCGGCCAUGUGCGUCAGAAGUGAAAUAUCACGGCUUAACCGUGAGGGUGCUUUUGAAACGGCGUGGCUUGAGUACGGGAGAGGAUGAUGGAAUUCCUGGUGUAGCAGUGAAAUGCGUAGAUAUCAGGAGGAACACCGGUGGCGAAGGCGGUCAUCUGGCCCGGUACUGACGCUCAGGCACGAAAGUGUGGGUAGCAAACAGGAUU